CUUCCGCAAUGGACGAAAGUCUGACGGAGCACGCCGCGUGAGUGAUGAAGGCUUUCGGGUCGUAAAACUCUGUUGUUAGGGAAGAACAAGUGCUAGUUGAAUAAGCUGGCACCUUGACGGUACCUAACCAGAAAGCCACGGCUAACUACGUGCCAGCAGCCGCGGUAAUACGUAGGUGGCAAGCGUUAUCCGGAAUUAUUGGGCGUAAAGCGCGCGCAGGUGGUUUCUUAAGUCUGAUGUGAAAGCCCACGGCUCAACCGUGGAGGGUCAUUGGAAACUGGGAGACUUGAGUGCAGAAGAGGAAAGUGGAAUUCCAUGUGUAGCGGUGAAAUGCGUAGAGAUAUGGAGGAACACCAGUGGCGAAGGCGACUUUCUGGUCUGUAACUGACACUGAGGCGCGAAAGCGUGGGGAGCAAACAGGAUUAGAUACCCUGGUAGUCCACGCCGUAAACGAUGAGUGCUAAGUGUUAGAGGGUUUCCCCCCUUUGUGCUGAAGUUAACGCAUUAAGCACUCCGCCUGGGGAAGUCCGGCCGCAANGGCUUAAAACUCAAAGGAAUGACGGGGCCCGCNCAAGCGGUGGAGCAUGUGGUUNAUUNGAAGCAACGCGAAGACCUUACCAGGUCUUGACAUNCUNUGAAAACCCUAGAGAUAGGGCUUNUCCUUCGGGAGCAGAGUGACAGGUGGUGCAUGGUUGUCGUCAGCUCGUGUCGUGAGAUGUUGGGUUAAGUCCCGCAACGAGCGCAACCCUUGAUCUUAGUUGCCAUCAUUAAGUUGGGCACUCUAAGGUGACUGCCGGUGACAAACCGGAGGAAGGUGGGGAUGACGUCAAAUCAUCAUGCCCCUUAUGACCUGGGCUACACACGUGCUACAAUGGACGGUACAAAGAGCUGCAAGACCGCGAGGUGGAGCUAAUCUCAUAAAACCGUUCUCAGUUCGGAUUGUAGGCUGCAACUCGCCUACAUGAAGCUGGAAUCGCUAGUAAUUCGCGGAUUCAGCAUGCCGCGG
RNAcentral lists this ribosomal RNA (1006 nucleotides) under Bacillus thuringiensis. RNAcentral describes it as "bacterial SSU rRNA". It matches the Rfam family "Bacterial small subunit ribosomal RNA", at positions 363 to 1362 of the family's 1533-position model. Lineage: Bacteria; Bacillati; Bacillota; Bacilli; Caryophanales; Bacillaceae. The record is from RNAcentral.